AUUUGGGUCAAUAUUGAUGACUAAUGUAUCAAUCUAAUAUAGAAAUCAGUUUGACACCUUUAAGAGAUUUUGAUUGGGUCAACAAAUUAUUCAUUUAACAAUAAUCCAAACUAUUCAUUUAACAAAGAAUUAUAAAACAUUAUAUAGCUGGGCACAGCGGUGCACACCUGUAAUCCUAGUGGCUCAGGAGGCUAAGCCAGGAGGAUCACAAGUUCAAAGCCAGUCUCAACAAAAGUGAAGCGCUAAGCAACUCAGACCCUUUCUCUAAAUAAAAUACAAAAAAAAAGGGGGUUGGAAUCUGUGAGGUGAAUAGACAGCCUACAUCUUGGGAGCAAAUCUUUACCCCUCAUACAUCAGAGCACUAAUCACUAGGGUAUAUAAAGAACUCAAAAAGCUAAACACCAAAAAAAAAUAAUAAUAAUAAAUGGGCCAAGGACCUGAAGAGACUUCUCAGAAGAUGAUGUAUAAUCAGUUAACAAAUACAUGAAAAAAAUGUUCAUCAUCACUAGCAAUUAGAGAAAUGCAAAUUAAAACCACUCCAAGAUUUCAUCUCACUCCAGUCAGAAUGGCAGCUAUAAGUUUUGCAAGGGUAUGGGGAAAAAGGUACACUCAUCACUACUGGUGGGACUGCAAAUUGGUGCAGCCAAUAUGGAAAGCAGUAUGGAGAUUUCUUGGAAAAUUGGGAAUGGAAUCACCAUUUGGCCCAGCUGUCCCUCUCCUAGGUCUAUACCCAAAGAACUUAAAAACAGCAUACUACAGGGACGCAGCCACAUCAGUGUUUAUAGCAGCACAAUUCAUAAUAGCUAAACUGUGGAACCAACCUAGAUGCCCUUCAGUAGAUGAAUGGAUUAAAAAAAUGUGGCAUAUAUACACAAUGGAAUAUUAGAGAAUAAAAUCAUGGCAUUUGCAGGUAAUGAAGUUAGAGAAGAUAAUGCUAAGUGAAGUUAGCCAAUCCCCAAAAAAAAACAAAUGCGGAAUGUUUUCUUUGCUAUAAGGAGGCUAAUUCAUAGGGGGAUAGGGAGCGGG
RNAcentral lists this long non-coding RNA (1026 nucleotides) under Marmota monax (woodchuck). Lineage: Eukaryota; Metazoa; Chordata; Mammalia; Rodentia; Sciuridae. The record is from RNAcentral.